GGGGAGGAGGGCGCAGCUGUGCCUCAGUCGGAGCGCGGCGGGGCCGAGGACGCGGGGAAGGGUUUCUGUGGAGAAAUGUGUGUUGUGCGCUCCGAGCCCGAGAAACGGUCUUGGAAAUAAAGGAAUUCCUCUCCAGGCCAAACGCAGCAUGUGAAGAUUUUCACGGAGCGCUCUCUGAAGCGAAACCUUCCCAGGAAGAGAUGUCCGUGCUCCUCCCAGCCAGCUGAUAGCCCCAGAUAAAACAACACAUGAUGUGGAAUCACCGCAGGACCCGUCUGGCAGCUCCAUCCUGCAGCUCCAUCCUUUGCCUCUCCCUGGGCAAACAUCCUCGACUCUCCGUCACACUAAAUAUGGACCUGCAAGAUCCCCACAGCAGGUGUGAGCAAAUGUGCUCUUCCCAUCCCCGGCUCUCCCCUUCCCCUGCCCAUCUCCAGAAUAAGAAGCAGCGGCUCCUGAUGUUCUCCUCCUAUCUGCUUUUACAUGUGGGCCGGGAGGUACAUCUCACUGCCCCGGGCAGCACUGGGGAGCCAGGCAGGACAGCAGGAUGUGAAUGUGGAGAAAUGCAGCAUCACCGAUCUCACAUUCCUCAGCGCUGCGGGAUGACCUGAGCCUGAGGGCAGCAAUGAGGGGAGCACAGCUCUGGAUGCCAUUCCUCACCCCACAAAGCCCUUCCAACCUUACAAUGACAACAGGAUCUUCCCGGGGAGGCACUGCCGGGAGAGGCUGACCACAAUCAGGGACUGAAAGCAGUGACUAUUUCUUUGACUCAGCCACCAUUCAUUCAAUGAAUGAAAUACAAUUUACCUGACUCACAGAAACACCACGCAACAAACUUAAUAACGAGCCACGAGACCCCACAGUGACCGGCACCGUUUGUCAGCUGACAUAAAGAGCUCUGCUCUGCGUCCCACAGCACUGCUAAACCCACAGCCUCACAGAGCUUUGGACCGGAAGAGACGUUCCCUCACCCCUCGCUCACACGGUUAACAUACAGAUGGCAUCGGGAG
Molecule: long non-coding RNA, 1007 nt
Organism: Gallus gallus (chicken)
Lineage: Eukaryota; Metazoa; Chordata; Aves; Galliformes; Phasianidae
Source: Ensembl